RNAcentral lists this ribosomal RNA (496 nucleotides) under uncultured bacterium. RNAcentral's name for it is "bacterial SSU rRNA". It matches the Rfam family "Bacterial small subunit ribosomal RNA", at positions 35 to 507 of the family's 1533-position model. The record is from RNAcentral.
GCUGGCGGCAGGCCUAACACAUGCAAGUCGAGCGAAACGACGCUAACAAUCCUUCGGGUGCGUUAAUGGGCGUCGAGCGGCGGACGGGUGAGUAAUGCCUAGGAAAUUGCCUUGAUGUGGGGGAUAACCAUUGGAAACGAUGGCUAAUACCGCAUAAUGCCUACGGGGGCCAAAAGAGGGGGGAUCUUCGGACCUCUCGCGUCAAGAUAUGCCUAGGUGGGAUUAGCUAGUUGGUGAGGUAAUGGCUCACCAAGGCGACGAUCCCUAGCUGGUCUGAGAGGAUGAUCAGCCACACUGGAACUGGGACACGGUCCAGACUCCUACGGGAGGCAGCAGUGGGGAAUAUUGCACAAUGGGCGAAAGCCUGAUGCAGCCAUGCCGCGUGUAUGAAGAAGGCCUUCGGGUUGUAAAGUACUUUCAGUUGUGAGGAAGGGGGUAGUGUUAAUAGCACUAUCUCUUGACGUUAGCAACAGAAGAAGCACCGGCUAACUCCGUG